Molecule: ribosomal RNA, 446 nt
Filed under: uncultured bacterium
Lineage: Bacteria
Description: partial 16S ribosomal RNA
Rfam family: Bacterial small subunit ribosomal RNA
Source: RNAcentral
CCUACGGGGCGCAGCAGUCGAGAAUCUUUCACAAUGGGGGAAACCCUGAUGGUGCGACGCCGCGUGGGGGAAUGAAGGUCUUCGGAUUGUAAACCCCUGUCAUGUGGGAGCAAAUUAAAAAGAUAGUACCACAUGAGGAAGAGACGGCUAACUCUGUGCCAGCAGCCGCGGUAAUACAGAGGUCUCAAGCGUUGUUCGGAAUCACUGGGCGUAAAGCGUGCGUAGGCUGUUUCGUAAGUCGUGUGUGAAAGGCGCGGGCUCAACCCGCGGACGGCACAUGAUACUGGGAGACUAGAGUAAUGGAGGGGGAACCGGAAUUCUCGGUGUAGCAGUGAAAUGCGUAGAUAUCGAGAGGAACACUCGUGGCGAAGGCAGGUUCCUGGACAUUAACUGACGCUGAGGCACGAAGGCCAGGGGAGCGAAAGGGAUUAGAUACCCUUGUAGUC